Molecule: ribosomal RNA, 425 nt
Filed under: uncultured bacterium
Lineage: Bacteria
Description: bacterial SSU rRNA
Rfam family: Bacterial small subunit ribosomal RNA
Source: RNAcentral
GGGGAAUAUUGCACAAUGGGCGCAAGCCUGAUGCAGCCAUGCCGCGUGUGUGAAGAAGGCCUUCGGGUUGUAAAGCACUUUCAGCGGGGAGGAAGGCGGUGAGGUUAAUAACCUUGUCGAUUGACGUUACUCGCAGAGGAAGCACCGGCUAACUCCGUGCCAGCAGCCGCGGUAAUACGGAGGGUGCAAGCGUUAAUCGGAAUUACUGGGCGUAAAGCGCACGCAGGCGGUCUGUCAAGUCGGAUGUGAAAUCCCCGGGCUCAACCUGGGAACUGCAUUCGAAACUGGCAGGCUAGAGUCUUGUAGAGGGGGGUAGAAUUCCAGGUGUAGCGGUGAAAUGUGUAGAGAUCUGGAGGAAUACCGGUGGCGAAGGCGGCCCCCUGGACAAAGACUGACGCUCAGGUGCGAAAGCGUGGGGAGCAAAC